RNAcentral lists this ribosomal RNA (253 nucleotides) under uncultured bacterium. RNAcentral describes it as "partial 16S ribosomal RNA". It matches the Rfam family "Bacterial small subunit ribosomal RNA", at positions 524 to 776 of the family's 1533-position model. The record is from RNAcentral.
UACAGGGGGGGCAAGCGUUGUUCGGAAUUACUGGGCGUAAAGGGUUCGUAGGUGGCCAACUAAGUCAGACGUGAAAUCCCUCAGCUUAACUGGGGAACUGCGUCUGAUACUGGAUGGCUUGAGUGUAGGAGAGGAAUGCGGAAUUCCAGGUGUAGCGGUGAAAUGCGUAGAUAUCAGGAGGAACACCGGUGGUGUAGACGGCUUUCUGGACCGACACUGACGCUGAAACACGAAAGCGUGGGUAGCAAACAGG